Long non-coding RNA from Eptesicus fuscus (big brown bat), 1117 nucleotides. RefSeq lists it as uncharacterized. The transcript is spliced from 4 exons. NCBI's taxonomy places the organism in Eukaryota, Metazoa, Chordata, Mammalia, Chiroptera, Vespertilionidae. The record is from RefSeq and is a predicted model, not a curated record.
CCGCCCUCCGCUCCUCCUCCCAGGAGCUCUGGCCGCCGGCCAGCUCGCCCUCCUCAGCUCCCCAUUACUAAUUCAAAGACGCAUUCUUUUGGAGGGAUGGAAAAAAGGUAGGAUCUUCUUGGAUAUUUAAAUUUGGGUGGUCCUAGGCUGUUCCUGAAGUCCUCUUCUUCUCCAGUCUUGAAGAGUGUUGGGAUCGAAUGCCAACUCUGCAAGAUGCUGCAUGAAACCCUUCCUUGGUCUUUUCAGCCACCUGGCACUUAAGUUGUCCCCUCUACUCCCUGAAGAUCUCAUCAGCUUACGAAGCUAUCAGCUGAACUCCGAAGAACUGAAGAGCCAAGCCCUGGCUGAGCACACCCUGGGACCUCAUUUUAUCUAGCCACAAAGGAAGCUUGAGGUUGCAGGCACUGGAAGCAGGAGGACAACAUGAAGGCUGCCAGGAAGUCAGCUCCUGGGCCCACUCACAGCCCUCUAGAAUCUGGCUCACACACAUCUGCUUCACCAUCACUAUCCCCUUCCUGAAUGCUCUCAAGACCAUCGAUUGGAACAAGCUUUCUAGGCUUUCUGACAAUUCCUCUUCAUUGUUCUUUGCCUGUCUUUCCUCUUCUACCACCCUGCCCUCACCUUAAAUAUGGGUGCCCCUCAGGGUUCUCUCUAGUCCAUCUCUCAUCUCCUGUCUGUAGAGUCCCCCAGGUCUGCCCUUGAUUGCAGUCAUCACUCUCAUGCCUAAGACUCCCCAAGCUUUUCCUCUCCCAUCUUCUCCACUUGGCUGUCUCCCAGGCCCAGUCAAGCUCAACAUGUCCAAAGUGUGAUUCAUUGUUUCUGACCCAAACCUGCUCCCCCAUCUAGGUCUCUGUUUCAAUAAACGCCAUCCUCCUCCAUUCACUUUUCAAGCCAGAGACCAUCAUAUGUUUUCUCUUCCUUCUCCUUCAGUAUCCAAUUAGCGUAGUAAGUUUUUCAUAAAAGUUUAUGUAUUCAAUCACAAGUACUCCCCUUUAUUUUUAAAUUGUGUCCAUCCAGUGUCUUUGGUAUCAAAUGCUUUUUUCUCUAAAGAAAUGUGGGAGAUGGUAGAUGACAGUUGUUUUUGGCUGUGUGUAUGUUUUUAGUAUCAGUGAAGGGA